GAGCUGUGGAUAGGGGUGAAAGGCUAAACAAACUUGGAAAUAGCUGGUUCUCUCCGAAAACUAUUUAGGUAGUGCCUCAAGUAUUACCUGCGGGGGUAGAGCACUGUUUAGGCUAGGGGGUCAUGGCGACUUACCAAACCUUAGCAAACUCCGAAUACCGCAGAGUACAGCUUGGGAGACAGAGCACCGGGUGCUAACGUCCGGACUCAAGAGGGAAACAACCCAGACCGCC
Molecule: ribosomal RNA, 232 nt
Filed under: Lotharella globosa
Lineage: Eukaryota; Cercozoa; Chlorarachniophyceae
Description: partial Bacterial large subunit ribosomal RNA
Rfam family: Bacterial large subunit ribosomal RNA
Source: RNAcentral